ACCGGGCGGGGUGGUGCAUGCCUGUAGUCCCAGCUACUCAGGAGGAUGAGGUGGGAGGAUUGCUCGAGCCCAGGAAUUCUGGGCUGCAGUGCACUAUGCCGAUCGAGUGUCCGCACUAAGUUCGGCAUCAAUAUGGUGACCUCCCGGGAGAGGGGACCACCAGGUUGCCUAAGGAGGGGUGAACUGGCCCAGGUUGGAAAUGGAGCAGGUCAAAACUCCCGUGCUGAUCAGUAGUGGGAUCACGCCUGUAAAUAGCCACUGCACUCCAGUCUGGGCAACAUAGCGAGACCCCGUCUCU
RNAcentral lists this signal recognition particle RNA (298 nucleotides) under Cebus imitator (Panamanian white-faced capuchin). RNAcentral's name for it is "Metazoan signal recognition particle RNA (ENSCCAG00000007598.1)". It matches the Rfam family "Metazoan signal recognition particle RNA". Rfam says of the family: The signal recognition particle (SRP) is a universally conserved ribonucleoprotein. Lineage: Eukaryota; Metazoa; Chordata; Mammalia; Primates; Cebidae. The record is from RNAcentral.